RNAcentral lists this long non-coding RNA (1442 nucleotides) under Chinchilla lanigera (long-tailed chinchilla). RNAcentral describes it as "lncRNA (ENSCLAG00000025410.1)". The record is from RNAcentral. Lineage: Eukaryota; Metazoa; Chordata; Mammalia; Rodentia; Chinchillidae.
UUUUGUCUUUGUUUUUGAAAUUAACUGUUUAACUUGAUUAUAUAAAAAGUGCUUGGAAGCAUUUUAAUUUCUAAGAUAAUAUUUGAUGCACCGGGAAUUUCACAAAGCGAUUAUGGAAAUAACUCUAUGGUAGUUCAGAUUAUUGUUUUGUCAAUGAAAUACUGAUGUAGGACCAGUGUUGCUUCCGGGUUCUGCUAAUAUUUUCAGCAUAGGCGAUAUCAGGGGUCCAUUCUGUAACACCUGCCAGCUGAACUCAGCUGUAAGACUUGUCACACUUUAUUGGCAUUUUGUCAUUAUUUUUAUGAUUUCAAAAAUACAGAAUUGAUCCCUAAGGGGCAGAAGGGAACCGCCGAGCUUUUCCUUGGCAACAGCUGAUUUUUGUGCAGUGCACACUAAGCUCCGCGGAUUACAAGUGGCAAAUCAGUAGUAAGUAGCCAGCAGCGACGUCCCAUCACAGUGGGUUGAGAGUUGGGCUCCUCCCCGCACACACCUUUUUAUGAAGUAGCUCUGUGGAAAGGAAACUUCAGGCACUUAAUGAAGUCAUGAAUGAAGAGACACCGAGCAGAGGGUUAGACACAGCACUGCCCACAUCACCCGCCGCGUGCCCAAAGAAAAGAAAGUAAUAUCCACAUGACACUGGGCAACGUCUCCAUCAUCCGGAAAACUGCGUUAAAGGAAAUUGUCUCUCAAGUCCUGUCGGUGAUGACAGUCUACGAUUUCAAAACCUGAGAUGGGAUACUAACGAUCAUCAGAAGCCAGGUUUCUAGGACUAAAUGUAAGAACAUCUUGUCCUGUUCAUGCGUUUUCUCAUCCCUAACAGAAGGUUUAAAAGUUUCAACUUCCUAAAAAGGAACACAAACAAAAACACAACACAGGCUGACUGGGCUGGAGAGCACGAGAAUCUGCCAGACGCCCAAACCACGCAGGACCCACACGCUCAGCGAGCUCAGCGCCCACCGGCUCACACAUCCAUCACUCUCGGGGGAGCCUCCUAUGUCCCAGCGACUCCACAAGCACGGUGGCUUACCCCGGCCGUGGCUUAUACUCAGUCGGAGUUAAAAAGGCCAUAGUCCCUUAUUUCAGCAAAAUAAAAUCCAUCACCAACCCUCGCCGACAGCCUCAGUCUGUGUUUCUUUUACACCAACCACCUGACCUCACGGACUGCGUCAGCCUCACACCUGGUCCUUGGGCAGAAAGCACCAGGGAAGCGGACACAACGCAGGUUCAUGGACACUGGGAAGAAAUAUGUGAAAACCAACAAUGCCUUUGUGUGAACACGGACAGCAUACGCCAGCAUAUUUAAACAAGAAUGACAUUUACUGCAAAUAAAUGUGGCCAUCACUUCAGUUUAUUUUUAGUGUCUCUGAUUUUAAAAGCCAUCUCCCAAGUGGUUAUGUUGCUUAGCACCCACGGCACCCUGGCUCUGCCAGGACAGGAGCUGG